UUAAAUUUUAUUUAUUAAUUAUUUUUUUUUAUUAUUUAAAUUAUUAAAAAUAUUUAUAAAAUGAUUUGUUUUAGUAUUUAUAAAGAAAAAAUAAUUUUAAUUAUAGUUUAAUAGUAUUGUGAAAGAAAAUUGAAAUAUUUUGAAAAAUUUUUAUUGUAAAAGAAAAUUUAAUUUAUUGUACCUUGUGUAUCAGGGUUUAUCAAAUAAAAGUUAUGUAAAAUAAUUUUCUCGAUUUUAAAAGAGUUAAUAUAUUAUUAAAGUUAAUGUAGUAAAAUUAUUUUAAAUAAUAUAUUAGAAAUGAAAUGUUAUUCGUUUUUAAAGGUAUCUAGUUUUUUAAGAAAUAAAUUUAAUUUAGAAAUUUUAUAUUAUUUAGUUAACUGUAUUAAUUAAAUAAUUAUUUAAUUUUAAUAUUUUACGGGAUAAGCUGUGAAAUAAAUUUUUAAAAAUUAAUAAAUAUAAUAAUAAAUAUAAGCUUAGAAAUAGCUAUUAUUUGUAAAAGUGUUAUAAUUUAUUUAAGAUAGAUUAUUAUUUAUUUUAUUUUAAAUUUUUAUUAAAAUUUUCAUUUUAAUUUUAUUAAUGAAGUAAUAAUGAUAAAAUUAGUAUAUAAUUUUGUAAAAGUAAUUAUGAAUGGAAAGUUUUUAUAAAGAACUCGGCAAAAAUAGUAUUCGCCUGUUUAACAAAAACAUGUCUUUUUGAAUUUUUAUUUAAAGUCUAGCCUGCCCACUGAUUUUUUUUAAAUGGCCGCAGUAUUCUGACUGUGCAAAGGUAGCAUAAUCAUUAGUCUUUUAAUUGAAGGCUGGUAUGAAUGGUUGGACGAGAUAUUAACUGUUUCAUAAAAAUUUACAGUAGAAUUUUAUUUUUUAGUCAAAAAGCUAAAAUAAUUUUAAAAGACGAGAAGACCCUAUAAAUCUUAAUAUUUAAAUUAUUAUGAUUUUGUAGAUUUAUUUUAUUAUAAUAAUUAAUGAUAUUUUAUUGGGGUGAUAUUAAAAUUUAUAUAACUUUUAAUUUUUUAAUUCAUUAAUUUAUGAAUAAUUGAUCCAUUAAUAGUGAUUAAAAGAAUAAGUUACUUUAGGGAUAACAGCGUAAUUUUUUUGGAGAGUUCUUAUCGAUAAAAAAGAUUGCGACCUCGAUGUUGGAUUAAGAUAUAAUUUUAGGUGUAGCCGCUUAAAUUUUAAGUCUGUUCGACUUUUAAAUUCUUACAUGAUCUGAGUUCAAACCGGUGUAAGCCAGGUUGGUUUCUAUCUUUAAUCUAUUAAAAUAUUUCAGUACGAAAGGACCUAAUAUUUAAUAAAUUAUUAUUUAUAUAUUGAAUAUAAUUAAUAU
Molecule: ribosomal RNA, 1323 nt
Filed under: Goniophyto honshuensis
Lineage: Eukaryota; Metazoa; Arthropoda; Insecta; Diptera; Sarcophagidae
Description: 16S ribosomal RNA
Rfam family: Archaeal large subunit ribosomal RNA (bases 1074-1233)
Source: RNAcentral